Molecule: ribosomal RNA, 498 nt
Filed under: uncultured bacterium
Lineage: Bacteria
Description: partial 16S ribosomal RNA
Rfam family: Bacterial small subunit ribosomal RNA
Source: RNAcentral
AUUGAACGCUGGCGGCAUGCCUUACACAUGCAAGUCGAACGGUAACGCGGGGCAACCUGGCGACGAGUGGCGAACGGGUGAGUAAAGCAUCGGAACGUGCCCAGUAGUGGGGGAUAGCCCGGCGAAAGCCGGCUUAAUACCGCAUACGACCUAUGGGUGAAAGGGGGGGAUCGCAAGACCUCUCGCUAUUGGAGCGGCCGAUGUCCGACUAGGUAGGUGGUGGGGUAAAGGCCUACCAAGCCGGCGAUUUGUAGCUGGUCUGAGAGGACGAACAGCCACACUGGGACGGAGACACGGCCCAGACUCCUACGGGAGGCAGCAGUGGGGAAUUUUUGACAAUGGGCGCAAGCCUGAUCCAGCCAUGCCGCGUGCGGGAAGAAGGCCUGCGGGUUGUAAACCGAUUUUGUCAGGGAAGAAAUCCUUUGGGUUAAUACCUCGGGGGGAUGACGGUACCUGAAGAAUAAGCACCGGCUAACUACGUGCCAGCCGCCGCGGUAA